This 431-nucleotide ribosomal RNA is filed under the name uncultured bacterium. RNAcentral's name for it is "partial 16S ribosomal RNA". It matches the Rfam family "Bacterial small subunit ribosomal RNA", at positions 29 to 507 of the family's 1533-position model. The record is from RNAcentral.
AACGAACGCUGGCGGCAGGCCUAACACAUGCAAGUCGAGCGCCCUUUCGGGGGAGCGGCGGACGGGUGAGUACCGCGUGGGAAUAUGCCCUUCUCUACGGAAUAGCCUCGGGAAACUGAGAGUAAUACCGUAUACGCCCUGUGGGGGAAAGAUUUAUCGGGGAAGGAUUAGCCCGCGUUGGAUUUGGUAGUUGGUGGGGUAAUGGCCUACCAAGCCGACGAUCCAUAGCUGGUUUGAGAGGAUGAUCAGCCACACUGGGACUGAGACACGGCCCAGACUCCUACGGGAGGCAGCAGUGGGGAAUCUUAGACAAUGGGGGCAACCCUGAUCUAGCCAUGCCGCGUGAGUAAUGAAAGCCUUAGGGUUGUAAAGCUCUUUCAGCUGGGAAGAUAAUGACGGUACCAGCAGAAGAAGCCCCGGCUAACUCCGUG